This 253-nucleotide ribosomal RNA is filed under the name uncultured bacterium. RNAcentral describes it as "partial 16S ribosomal RNA". It matches the Rfam family "Bacterial small subunit ribosomal RNA", at positions 524 to 777 of the family's 1533-position model. The record is from RNAcentral.
UACGGGGGGGCAAGCGUUGUUCGGAAUUACUGGGCGUAAAGGGUUCGUAGGUGGCCAACUAAGUCAGACGUGAAAUCCCUCAGCUUAACUGGGGAACUGCGUCUGAUACUGGUUGGCUUGAGUGCAGGAGAGGAAUGCGGAAUUCUAGGUGUAGCGGUGAAAUGCGUAGAUAUCUGGAGGAACACCGGUGGCGAAGGCGGCAUCCUGGACCGAUACUGACGCUGAGGAGCGAAAGCCAGGGGAGCAAAGCGGG